Non-coding RNA from Caenorhabditis elegans, 149 nucleotides. The record is from Ensembl. NCBI's taxonomy places the organism in Eukaryota, Metazoa, Nematoda, Chromadorea, Rhabditida, Rhabditidae.
AGAUGAUGCCCUCUAGACUCCGGUAAUCUAUCCUUUCCAAAAGGAAACAGAGGGCGUUCCUCCUAGCCUGACACCCGUCUUUGGGCAUUAUGUUCUCCGUCGUCUGCUUGAGCAACUUUGGGCUUAUGGCCUGCGUCUUACUGGUUUAU